RNAcentral lists this ribosomal RNA (498 nucleotides) under uncultured bacterium. RNAcentral's name for it is "partial 16S ribosomal RNA". It matches the Rfam family "Bacterial small subunit ribosomal RNA", at positions 30 to 523 of the family's 1533-position model. The record is from RNAcentral.
AUUGAACGCUGGCGGCAUGCCUUACACAUGCAAGUCGAACGGUAACAGGUCUUCGGAUGCUGACGAGUGGCGAACGGGUGAGUAAUACAUCGGAACGUGCCUAGUAGUGGGGGAUAACUACUCGAAAGAGUGGCUAAUACCGCAUGAGAUCUACGGAUGAAAGCAGGGGAUCGCAAGAACUUGUGCUACUAGAGCGGCCGAUGGCAGAUUAGGUAGUUGGUGGGAUAAAAGCUUACGAAGCCGACGAUCUGUAGCUGGUCUGAGAGGACGAUCAGCCACACUGGGACUGAGACACGGCCCAGACUCCUACGGGAGGCAGCAGUGGGGAAUUUUGGACAAUGGGCGCAAGCCUGAUCCAGCAAUGCCGCGUGCAGGAUGAAGGCCUUCGGGUUGUAAACUGCUUUUGUACGGAACGAAAAGCCCUGGGUUAAUACCCUGGGGUCAUGACGGUACCGUAAGAAUAAGCACCGGCUAACUACGUGCCAGCCGCCGCCGUAA